AGCGAACGCUGGCGGCAGGCUUAACACAUGCAAGUCGAGCGGGCAUCUUCGGAUGUCAGCGGCAGACGGGUGAGUAACACGUGGGAACGUACCCUUCGGUUCGGAACAACUCUGGGAAACUGGAGCUAAUACCGGAUACGCCCUUAUGGGGAAAGGUUUACUGCCGAAGGAUCGGCCCGCGUCUGAUUAGCUAGUUGGUGGGGUAACGGCCUACCAAGGCGACGAUCAGUAGCUGGUCUGAGAGGAUGAUCAGCCACACUGGGACUGAGACACGGCCCAGACUCCUACGGGAGGCAGCAGUGGGGAAUAUUGGACAACGGGCGCAAGCCUGAUCCAGCCAUGCCGCGUGAGUGAUGAAGGCCUUAGGGUUGUAAAGCUCUUUUGUCCGGGACGAUAAUGACGGUACCGGAAGAAUAAGCCCCGGCUAACUUCGUG
This 435-nucleotide ribosomal RNA is filed under the name uncultured bacterium. Its description in RNAcentral is "partial 16S ribosomal RNA". It matches the Rfam family "Bacterial small subunit ribosomal RNA", at positions 29 to 507 of the family's 1533-position model. The record is from RNAcentral.